UUAGGCGUAAAUCUGAGUUCUUUCCCUCCCUCUUUCUAAUUUUCAUGCAAACCUUCAACAUAUAUUUAAUAAGCACAAACCAUGCGAGUCCACCCCUCUGUCUGCUCUGUUGAUAGCUCUGGUGGUGGCUUUUCCAACAUAUUCUUCUGGGGACAGGAAGUCACGCCAAAUGAGAGUGAAACCCCUGAUGACCAAGGACCUAUGUUGCCCUAAAAAGCCCUUGCCCAGGUAGGGUCCCCUGCAGAGAGGAAUCCUGGCCGUCACCUACUUCAUCCUUGCUGAAGGGCGGGGACACCCGUCAUCUAACACUGGCUUGGGGCCCAGCGUUCCAACUCCUGCUGCGUCACCUGAACUCAGAAGACAAGGAGCGAGGGAGAAGCCACCCAGAUCUAUUCAGCCGUGAGACAAAGAGGAAGUCAGUGAGUCCUUGGUUGCCUCAGCUGACAGAUGUCCCCAGCACCUCAGAGAUUUCGAGACUUUUGUUCAAGGGGUAAUUUGGGCUCAUCUGUUGCUCUCCUGCCCUUCAGCACUCCUGAAAGACACUUGGUUGGAAUGGUACUGACCGCUACUGUUUACUGAGGACUGAGCUCUUCUGUGCAUAUCUCAUCUAAAUCUUUCAACAACCCCGAGGGAUUAGCCCUGAGCUAACAUCUGCUGCCAAUCCUCCUCUUUUUGCUGAGGAAGACUGGCCCUGAGCUAACAUCCAUGCCCAUCCUCCUCUACUUUAUAUGUGGGACAUCUACCCCAGCGUGGUGUGCCAAGCAGUGCCAUGUCUGCACCCAGGAUCCAAACCGGCGAGCCCCGGGCCACUGAAGGGGAAUGUGCGCACUUAACCGCUGCGCCACCUGGCCGGCCCCCAACACUGUGUCUUAAAGGUCUUUCCAUAUCAGUAGAUGUACACUCCCUUCGCUAUUUUUUAAUAACGGCAGAGUAUUCCCCUGUAUGGAUGUACCAUCGAUUUCCCUGAUGAUCACUAUUUAGGGUUCUUUCUAUUUUGUAAUGAGCGCUGUUGCCAUGAACACCCUGUGCCUCCCACCUCGUGUACGUCUGUCAUCUUGUCCUGGGGUAGGGCCGUGGGAUCGCUGGGUCAGAGUGUGGAUGUUAACAUUUUGAUCAACGUUGACACACUGUUUUUGAAAAAGCCUCCCUCCCAUCACGUGGCAGUGCCGGUUUCCCCACAUCUUCACCAGCACUGUGCAGCUUCCAUCUUUGUCAUUUUCGUCUCUCUAAUAGGCUCUUUUUAAUAGCCACUAACUCUCCUGCCCCAUUUUCCUGUCUUAGAACCCUUAAAACUUCACCCCUUAAAUAUCCUGUUGUCUAGCCAUGGUGACCACGCCGUAGUCCUAGAGUGGGGUCCAUCCCCUGGGGCCAAGUUGUCCCCUACAAUGAAAUCUGGAGACAUCACCAGCAUCCACUGUUUAAUAUUUAUCGGGGCCUGCUGUGUGCUGGGCCCACACAGCAACCAAGACCUUUGGGAGGAAAACAUGCAGUGAUUUGGAAGGCAGAGAUUACUUAAUAAAAA
RNAcentral lists this long non-coding RNA (1522 nucleotides) under Equus asinus (donkey). RNAcentral describes it as "lncRNA (ENSEASG00005024451.1)". The record is from RNAcentral. Lineage: Eukaryota; Metazoa; Chordata; Mammalia; Perissodactyla; Equidae.